This 253-nucleotide ribosomal RNA is filed under the name uncultured bacterium. RNAcentral's name for it is "partial 16S ribosomal RNA". It matches the Rfam family "Bacterial small subunit ribosomal RNA", at positions 524 to 776 of the family's 1533-position model. The record is from RNAcentral.
UACGUAGGUGACAAGCGUUGUCCGGAUUUACUGGGCGUAAAGAGCGCGCAGGCGGUCGAUCAAGUCGAGUGUGAAAGCCCCCGGCUCAACUGGGGAGGGUCAUUCGAUACUGAUCGACUCGAAGGCAGGAGAGGGUAGUGGAAUUCCCGGUGUAGUGGUGAAAUGCGUAGAUAUCGGGAGGAACACCAGUGGCGAAGGCGACUACCUGGCCUGUUCUUGACGCUGGGGCGCGAAAGCUAGGGGAGCAAACGGG